AAACAGUCAGAACAGACGAGUCAACGGGGAUGUACAAAAGGAACAAGGAACAAAAUGCAAGCAUGAAGUCUCCCCAGGGCCGAGGGUCUGCCUGUGGACUAGAGUGCACCUGACAGAUAAAGCAUUUUGACGAUGACACAUUGCGGUGGGACAACAUGAAAAUAAACGAGAGAAUUUUAAAGCACA
Long non-coding RNA from Silurus meridionalis, 186 nucleotides. RefSeq lists it as uncharacterized. The transcript has 2 exons. The record is from RefSeq and is a predicted model, not a curated record. NCBI's taxonomy places the organism in Eukaryota, Metazoa, Chordata, Actinopteri, Siluriformes, Siluridae.